Molecule: long non-coding RNA, 600 nt
Organism: Acanthochromis polyacanthus (spiny chromis)
Lineage: Eukaryota; Metazoa; Chordata; Actinopteri; Pomacentridae
Exons: 4
Source: RefSeq, a predicted model, not a curated record
UCCUACAUUUUAGCAAGUAUUUGAUCUUAACACACUAAUAAGGAGGGCAAGUUCAAGGGGCUUAUAUUUUGAUUGGAACUACACAUUUCUAGUCACUAUAUUAACAGUCCAACUAUUUAGGUAGUACUUUUAUAUGCUCUUGUCAUCUUGAUCACAACAGUUUCAGUUUUCCAAUACAUUUAUAUGCUAUCAAUUUCAGAGACUGUUGCCAUGGAGACUUGUUCACAAGAGGACAUGGAAGGCGGUGUGCCACAAGGAGAGGAUUUAGAAGAUGAGGACAGUGUGCCACCCCUAUUUGAAUGUACCUCAUCAUCUGCUCAAAACGAAGCGGUGUCAGCAAAAAUGACAGAAGCCAGUGUGGCACAAGGCGGGGACUCAGAUGAUGAUGGUGUGGCAUCCCUACAAGAAUGUACCUCAUCAUCUGCCCAAAAGCAGAUGGUGUCAACAAAAAAGAGAGGUAAACAAUCUGCUGUCAAAAGAAGCUGGACACCAGAGGAAUCUGCUGCAGUUGACAGACAUUUAAGGAAAUUCAUAGUGAGAAGCCAAGUACCCGGAAAAGUGGACUGUGAGCGCUGUAUUACUGCAGAACCUCAAGCACUA